Molecule: ribosomal RNA, 48 nt
Filed under: Lotharella oceanica
Lineage: Eukaryota; Cercozoa; Chlorarachniophyceae
Source: RNAcentral
ACGAACUCGAGCGUCAUUGUCGAGAAAGAUCCUAGUUUUCCUGAGAAU